Coturnix japonica (Japanese quail) is the source of this 1135-nucleotide long non-coding RNA. Lineage: Eukaryota; Metazoa; Chordata; Aves; Galliformes; Phasianidae. The record is from Ensembl.
GCUUUCUCUAAAUGUUAUUUUUCUCUGUUCAGUUUUCUUGUUCACCUCUGGUUUGAAAAGCAGCAGUAUGUCUGCGUGAUUGCAGUGUGCCUGCUGGAUGAAGAGACCAGUGGCCCUCCCUGGAGCACCAGAACACAUUUUGGUCUUCAGAAUGUGAAAAGGUAUGUGUUAGGGCCGUAUCCCACCUCCAGUGUCUUAUAACGGGCACUUCAACCAGGGCACAGAGAUCUGUGUGCACACAGAAACCCUUUUCUUUCGGGACAAGGCUAUCAAUGCCCCACACAAGAGAGACUUCAAGGACGCUGUGUCCCCUGUGUGCUAGCAGAGGUCAUAUAAAAAUAACGAUGGAGGAGUGUUUUCCCGGCUCUGGUACCAGUCACGGGGAGAGCUGGAUGAACAGCCUCUGAGCAAAGCCAGCGGUGUUUGGAGAUGAUGAACCAGCGCUGCUGGGCUCGCAGCGGCCCUGCCCACGCCAGGCAGAGCUUCAGUGCAGGGUCCCCGCAGACCCUCCCCGAGCACAGCGGCGUGACGUCGCCGCUCCCCUAGGGGCCACUGCCUCCAAGUGACGCCCAGUCAGGCACACUGAUGUAGCCUCGCUGCCGCUCUUCCCGCCCACGUCUCCCGGCGGAGCUGCCCCGAGGCGGAGGCGGCCCUGGCCGCGGACCCGCUCUGCGAAGAGCGGGAGGUGCGGCAACGCCCUGGGAUGCGGCCUCGGCUCGGCCCCGCCGCCCGCCUCCCCGCCUCCCCGCCCGCUGUCAGCGCCCGGCGGCCGCAUGGGCACGGCGAGGCGUGCGGCGCCUCUCAACAGCGGCUGCUUCGGGACCGGCGGGCAGCGCCCGCGAGGGGCGGUGUCCGUCCUUUCAUCCAUCCAUCCAUCCACCCAUCCAUCCGUCCAUCCAUCCGUCCGUCCGUCCAUCCAUCCCCGCGUGGGUGGCGGCUCGUGUGCGUGAGCGUGUGUGUGACUGACACUGCGGCGCGCACAGCGAACGGGGCUGGGGGGGGAUGGGGGGGGACGCCGGCGCGCCCCGGCUGUGGCAGCCCCGUCUCCGUCCCCCGGAGCCCUCCCCGAUGGGGGCGACCUCAGCGGCCUCGCUGCUCCUCCUCCUCCCUCCUGGCGGGCUCUGCUGCUCUCUGA